UACGUAGGGGGCGAGCGUUGUCCGGAAUCAUUGGGCGUAAAGCGCGUGUAGGCGGCUCGGUAAGUCCGGUGUGAAACCUUGGGGCUCAACCCCAAGCCUGCACUGGAUACUGUCGAGCUUGAGUCCGGGAGGGGAGAGCGGAAUUCCUAGUGUAGCGGUGAAAUGCGCAGAUAUUAGGAAGAACACCGGUGGCGAAGGCGGCUCUCUGGAACGGUACUGACGCUGAGACGCGAAAGCGUGGGGAGCGAAUGGG
Molecule: ribosomal RNA, 253 nt
Filed under: uncultured bacterium
Lineage: Bacteria
Description: partial 16S ribosomal RNA
Rfam family: Bacterial small subunit ribosomal RNA
Source: RNAcentral